GCUCAUAAGAAAGAAGCAUUAAGUGGUUUGAUGCGGUUGGCUUGAAACCAGCAUGUGAGGGUUCGAUUCCUUCCUUUCUUG
Molecule: transfer RNA, 81 nt
Filed under: Tetraophasis obscurus
Lineage: Eukaryota; Metazoa; Chordata; Aves; Galliformes; Phasianidae
Description: tRNA-Ser
Rfam family: tRNA
About the family: Transfer RNA (tRNA) molecules are approximately 80 nucleotides in length. Their secondary structure includes four short double-helical elements and three loops (D, anti-codon, and T loops). Further hydrogen bonds mediate the characteristic L-shaped molecular structure. tRNAs have two regions of fundamental functional importance: the anti-codon, which is responsible for specific mRNA codon recognition, and the 3' end, to which the tRNAs corresponding amino acid is attached (by aminoacyl-tRNA synthetases). tRNAs cope with the degeneracy of the genetic code in two manners: having more than one tRNA (with a specific anti-codon) for a particular amino acid; and 'wobble' base-pairing, i.e. permitting non-standard base-pairing at the 3rd anti-codon position.
Source: RNAcentral